This is a long non-coding RNA of Mesocricetus auratus (golden hamster), 1588 nucleotides long. RefSeq lists it as uncharacterized. The transcript has 3 exons. The record is from RefSeq and is a predicted model, not a curated record. NCBI's taxonomy places the organism in Eukaryota, Metazoa, Chordata, Mammalia, Rodentia, Cricetidae.
AUCUGGGGGGAGAACGUGUAGGAGACCUCGGAGGACCGUGGUGGACACCUGCCCUCGCCCCCGCACCUGCGUCCCCCCCCCCGGGGGCUUUACCGGCUGUCUUUUUCGAUACGUGUAAUUUUUCCACAGUAGGAGCAUCAGCUGUGUGCGGAAGGCCAUGAUGACUCUGGAAGGGAGACAGAGCAGAGAGGACGGCUGAAAACAUCAGGCUGACAGUGAGCUGUGCGGCUGGAGGUGAAUGCGUGACGGUCUCUGAUCGAUCUUCAUCCUCCCAGCCACGGGUCAGCCACGCAGUGCACCCAGCUGCGGGAAUCUCCAGCAAAGAAAGCCCCGCAAACAUCAAGGGGGGACCAAUGGGGGCCCGGCCCGCAGCCGUCUUCGUAGCUGAUUGGCUGAGAGGGCUAUCGCUCCCGGGGGGCUGAAGGCUGGGGUCGGGGAGACCCCGUUCGCAUUCUUAGUGGGCGGGGCUUGGCUUUACGGCCUGGGGCUCCGGGCUCCGCCCUCAGCCUCUUCCGGGACCCAGGUUCCCAUGGCCCCCGGCGACCCACGGGGAGACCCGCAAGCCUGCGUCCCCAGUGCGGACCGCGUCUCCUGUCCAGCUGCCUUCCAUGCUGCAGAGAUGGAAACUGAGGCUCGAAAAAGGGCAGCAAAAAAACAAACAAACAAACAAAAAAAACCAACAACAAUCAAUCCGUCAAAAGGCGGAGUCACGCUCCCAAGGAAACCGGUGUCGGAAGGACGGGCCGGGCCGGCCAUUCCUGACCGUCCCCCGCCCCAGAACUGUCCGCCUGCGGCCUCCUUCGUGACAGACAGGGAAACUGAGGCUGACGACCAGGAAGCGGCGGCGUCCAUUUGGGGACGUUCAUCUUUUGCACAGUGGGACUUGGGGGCCGGCCUCAUCUGGAAAGCGGGGCGCAGCAGGUGCAGGCUGGCCGAGGCCCCCCUCGGGACCGGCGCCCGCUGUGAGAAAGAGCGGCCAGUUUCCCCACCCUCGUGGGAAGGCUAGGAAGUCCCUCCACCUGGAACAGAGACGUCCCCAAAAUCUGAAGUCCCCAAAAAUCUCAGGGACACGGGCAUUCAACUUAACAAAAAAGAACUGGAAUAUCCAAACAACAGAUGCACAGCUCACGAGAUGGAGAAACUUCCGGAAGCAUUAGCCACUGAAGCAGGAAAGAGAAGGCCUAGGGUUGGACUGUUCACAACUUGGGCAUGUAGAGGAAUGCAAUAGGACAAGGAAACACCAGACAGGGACAGACAGAGGGCCCAGGGUUAGGGUUUCUAUUCCAGGCCCUGGGUUCACUCCUGAGCACCCAUGUCAGGUGGCUCGCAGCCAGCACCAGGGGAUCCGAGCGCCCUCUUCUGGACUCAGAGGGAAGUGCACUCGUGUGCAUACUCACAGAGGCACACAGGCACAAACACAAGUAAAAAUGAACUAAACCCUAAAUAAAAUAAAAUAAAGACAACAGAUAAGCAAAGAGGCUGAAAAGCAAAAGAGAGACUAUGCAAUAAGAAGGAAAAGAAAACUUAGACAUGCGCAGCAAGCCGUGCAGCACAGAGCACUAAGGCUGAGGUGAGCACUCACGUGCAU